Molecule: long non-coding RNA, 292 nt
Filed under: Gallus gallus (chicken)
Lineage: Eukaryota; Metazoa; Chordata; Aves; Galliformes; Phasianidae
Source: RNAcentral
AUUACUACAUCAUCUUCAAACCCAAGGAUUUCUGUUACUCGUUUUGUUAUCCAUGGUUUGAUUACUUCCAGAUUUACUUUGCUCAUGUCCACCUUCUUUUCUAAGCAUUCUGCAAAUUUCAACUGCUUCAACAGCUUCUUCUGCUUAUUGCUGAAGCGAUUGUCCUGCUCUGCACUUGUUCCGCGGAAGAACCCCGCGUCCAUCUUGGCUCCUCCGCCUCCUCCUGGUCGCAGCGCGCUGCCUUCCCGGCGUGCACCGCGCACCCGCGAGCCCCUCGCACGCUCGCCGCGCU